RNAcentral lists this long non-coding RNA (269 nucleotides) under Nannospalax galili (Upper Galilee mountains blind mole rat). RNAcentral's name for it is "lncRNA (ENSNGAG00000024553.1)". Lineage: Eukaryota; Metazoa; Chordata; Mammalia; Rodentia; Spalacidae. The record is from RNAcentral.
AUGGCAGGAGAUACAUCAGCAGCCUGGAACCCCAGGAUUCCUCUGCAGCAACUGUGCCCAGGCCUAGAACACCCUCCACACCCUUCUCCUAUCUCCCCAGACCUCAGCUGGCACCUGGGCAUCCUGAGCAAGGCACAGGGCUGGGUUCUGAGAAGAAUCUUGGUGCAGAGAGGCAGGGUGUGAGAAUAAUCUCAUUGUGGAAAAGAAUUCUAAGAAAAUAAUGUAAGUAACUGACAUCAGUUAAUAAAAGAACUUCCCAUCAAUUGUCU